AAUAGAUACCCCGGUAGUCCACACCGUAAACGAUGAGCGCUAGGUGUUGGGGGUCGAACCUCAGUGCCGCAGCUAACGCAUUAAGCGCUCCGCCUGGGGAGUACGCACGCAAGUGUGAAACUCAAAGGAAUUGACGGGGACCCGCACAAGCAGCGGAGCAUGUGGUUUAAUUCGAAGCAACGCGAAGAACCUUACCUGGGCUUGACAUCCCUCUGACCGCUCCUUAACCGGAGCCUUCCCUUCGGGGACAGAGGUGACCGGUGGUGCAUGGUUGUCGUCAGCUCGUGUCGUGAGAUGUUGGGUUAAGUCCCGCAACGAGCGCAACCCUCGUCUUUAGUUGCCAGCAGUUCGGCUGGGCACUCUAGAGAGACUGCCGGGGAUAACUCGGAGGAAGGUGGGGAUGACGUCAAAUCAUCAUGCCCCUUAUGUUCAGGGCUACACACGUGCUACAAUGGCCAAUACAAAGGGUUGCCAAGGAGUAAUCUGGAGCUAAUCCCAUAAAGUUGGUCCCAGUUCGGAUUGUGGGCUGAAACUCGCCCA
This 540-nucleotide ribosomal RNA is filed under the name uncultured bacterium. RNAcentral's name for it is "bacterial SSU rRNA". It matches the Rfam family "Bacterial small subunit ribosomal RNA", at positions 777 to 1318 of the family's 1533-position model. The record is from RNAcentral.